AACCGGAGAUCUCCGGCCGACUACUGUCACCGGCUCCUUUUCCUUCAAACACCCCCCACCUCUCGACACCCUUACACUCGCAACACGUUUCGACAUUAUAAUACCUCACCUCAUUCUGUUUCGGGCACCUCUCAACCGCACUCUAUCUUGCAUUCCCGCUCCCGAACACACCUUCUGAAUAAGCGAACAAGAAACAAUACAUCGGAGGUAUACGGAUGCCGCCGGAGAUCGCAAAGACAUCGGAGAACAACCGGAAUGCGGCACGCCUCGGAUAAUCGCCCUUGUUCAUUUUCUUGGAUUUUUCCCAAUCUUACUCGUACGCUACUUACAAGAAAUCGCAACGCAAC
Molecule: long non-coding RNA, 347 nt
Filed under: Helianthus annuus (common sunflower)
Lineage: Eukaryota; Viridiplantae; Streptophyta; Magnoliopsida; Asterales; Asteraceae
Description: sRNA HanXRQr2_Chr17g0824331
Source: RNAcentral